Molecule: ribosomal RNA, 179 nt
Filed under: uncultured bacterium
Lineage: Bacteria
Description: partial 16S ribosomal RNA
Rfam family: Bacterial small subunit ribosomal RNA
Source: RNAcentral
GACUCCACGAAGUUGGAUUCGCUAGUAAUCGCGCAUCAGCCAUGGCGCGGUGAAUACGUUCCCGGGCCUUGUACACACCGCCCGUCAAGCCAUGGGAGCCGGGGGCGCCUGAAGUCCGGGACCGCGAGGACCGGCCUAAGGCGAAACUGGUGACUGGGGCUAAGUCGUAACAAGGUAUC